Molecule: ribosomal RNA, 483 nt
Filed under: uncultured bacterium
Lineage: Bacteria
Description: partial 16S ribosomal RNA
Rfam family: Bacterial small subunit ribosomal RNA
Source: RNAcentral
UUGAACGCUGGCGGCAUGCUUUACACAUGCAAGUCGCACGGCAGCGCGGGCUUCGGCCUGGCGGCGAGUGGCGAACGGGUGAGUAAUACAUCGGAACGUGCCCAGUAGCGGGGGAUAGCUCGGCGAAAGCCGGAUUAAUACCGCAUACGACCUGAGGGUGAAAGCGGGGGAUCUUCGGACCUCGCGCUAUUGGAGCGGCCGAUGGCAGAUUAGCUAGUUGGUGGGGUAAAGGCCUACCAAGGCGACGAUCUGUAGCUGGUCUGAGAGGACGACCAGCCACACUGGGACUGAGACACGGCCCAGACUCCUACGGGAGGCAGCAGUGGGGAAUUUUGGACAAUGGGCGAAAGCCUGAUCCAGCAAUGCCGCGUGUGUGAUGAAGGCCUUCGGGUUGUAAAGCACUUUUGGCGGGAACGAAAAGGACUGUGCCAAUACCACGGUUCGAUGACGGUACCCGCAGAAUAAGCACCGGCUAACUACGUG